AUGCACACGUGUCAGGGAGCCGUGACCCCAGAAAACCCACUGGCAGCUCCACGUGACUCAGAAUCACAUCCUUUCAGGGGUUCUCGGGGGCUCCGUCCACGUGCCACCGUGGCUGCUGGGAGAACCUGCCAAAACUCUGGCCCCUUCGUCUCAGGGAGCAUCCCCUACAGGUGGCCCAUUCAGGGGCCUUUCUGCCGUUGGCAGCCUUCUGAAGGCUCCACCAGGGGAGGAUUGAGGUGCAGGACUUUGGGCCAGGUGCGUGUACCUCCUGGGGUCUUGCUCUGUGCUCUGGUCCCCGAAGUGUCUUGCACUCGAGAAGGCGUUCACUCGCUACCUUCCUCGCGCGGGUGGUUCCUUGCCUGCGCACUUGGGCAGCUGGCCCUUCUCCCUUGGGCCUCAGUUUCCCUGAGAGGGGGCAGGUACUCCCCGUGUGGAUGCAGGAGAAAAAUCAUCCCUGCCUGGGACUCUGAGUGCAUCCGCCAACUGUUUCUAUACUCACAUGUUCAUCCGGACAGCAGGUUCCUCGUGUGGAUACCAAGCUCCUCCAUUGUGCCAGGGUCCUUUGGGGUUGACGGUCUGACGAGAGGAGACAGGCAGUGCUCGAUCAGGAGGUUUUGGACAGUGAACUGUGGAGGAGGUGAUCCCCGUGGAGGUGGAGCUGAGGUGCGUAGUGUUGGGCUGACCCAGUGGAGGAGGAAGUGCCACUGCAAACAGCCUGAGGCAUCGUCCUACUUGGCUGGUGGCGAGCAGAGGGCCAGACUGUGCAGGCCUUUUUUUGGUGAGAGGGGGAAACCAAGGUCUGCUCAGAGCACACAGCUCCUCCCUGGCCCUCGGCAGUAUGGCCCCCAGGCCUGCUUGGCUUUGCAGGAGGACAGAGCUCAGCCUUCAGCAUGCCCGCUCCCCUUAAUCUCAUUAGAAGGCCAGCCUGUUGCCAUGGCAAUUGCUGGGAGGGGUGGUGGGUGGGGGGAGCCAAGGCCGGCUUCAUCUCGAGAGAGAGGACGGGAGGGGCUGGCAGGUGGGGGUGCAUCUGCAUCAUCUGCAGGGCCCUGGAGGCCUGGGGGCUGCCCUGGAGAAGUGUCUGUGUUUGUCAUGGCACACCUCCCCAGGGCUCCUGGCCGCCCCCGUUCCCCAGCUUUGUGGCUUCCACUCUGCCAGGGUUGA
Molecule: long non-coding RNA, 1161 nt
Filed under: Panthera leo (lion)
Lineage: Eukaryota; Metazoa; Chordata; Mammalia; Carnivora; Felidae
Description: lncRNA (ENSPLOG00000000372.1)
Source: RNAcentral